Hipposideros armiger (great roundleaf bat) is the source of this 943-nucleotide long non-coding RNA. RefSeq lists it as uncharacterized. The transcript has 3 exons. NCBI's taxonomy places the organism in Eukaryota, Metazoa, Chordata, Mammalia, Chiroptera, Hipposideridae. The record is from RefSeq and is a predicted model, not a curated record.
AAUCCUGCUCCAUAUGGAAAUUUCAGGAUUUGUUGAUUGUGGACAAUAAACAGAGUCCUCCUGCUUGCUGCUUUCAUCCUGGUGGUGGCCCUCCCGAAUACGUCCUGCACCCUGUUUCAUCUCAAUGCGUUGUCAUAGCUAAGAACAUGGAAUGGCAGAAGCACCAGGGCACAAGCAAGACUCACAGCAUAUUUAAAGACUGUUCUCAUCACACCUGCCAACAUUUAAUUACCCAGUGCAAGUCAUGAGGCUGAGCCUAACAUCAAUGGGGUUUUAAGCUUGGAAGGUAGACGAAGAAUCUCCUCAAAGAGCUAGAAAGAUAUAAAACAGUAAAAUGACACCGAGUGCCUCCUUCCCCCACCCACCCCCAGUUUCUGUCCAGGGGGAGACAUUGAAGCACAGAGGCCUCUCUCCUCUCAACAAAGCAUUCAUGGAUAAACAAAUUGGUGACAUCUUCCUCAUGCCCUGAGAAGCUGUGAGUGCCACAUGAGGAGAAAGGAUCUAUCUUCUAGGGCAACGAAACAACGGCCGAGCAGCUCACGGAAAUCGGGGGCUCGCAGGACCAGCACAAUUCUUAUGCCACACACUUGAGGCACUUAACUACUGCGAUUUGCUGGGAUGCAGCCAGCUAAUGGAAUUUAAAUUAAUGAUGUACAUUUCUUUUAGUUUAAGUUGUUAAACUGUAUUUCCAUGUUUGAUAGUCAUUUGCUAAAUCUCUGGAAAACACUGCAUAUAUAAUAAUAUGCUGGAAUCCCCUGUAGCAUUAAAAAAAAAAAGCUAACAAGUUAUAUAUGAUUUACUCAUUUGCGACACAUCUGUAUUUUAGAGAAACAUUAGUAUAAUCAGAAGAAGGAUUGGGUUAUUGAUUUGAAUUCCAAUUCAAAUAUUAUUUAGGAAGAUUACACUGGAAAAAAAAGAUAUACUUCUAUCUUUUCUAAAAUGA